AAGAUAAGAUCUGCAAGCACCCCAAGGCAACGCCUCGCACAUAUAGAUUUUUCUUCUGUCCAUAAUUCACUAUAUAAGCCCGUGCUAUCUUCUUGGACCUCAUGGGAUGGAGAACUGCCUGAAUUUAGAGGAAAGGGUGCCACUUCUCUGCAUAAAUCGCAAAAAUUAUGAGGCAAAAUUACCCUGAAAAAUAUGCUGAAAGUUGAUUCACUGAUAUCAUCUUAUGUUAGCUCGUAACAUCACAUAGACAAAAAGAUUAAGCUACCUUGUACUUGAAAUCGUUUGUUAUAUAAGUGUUCCCUAGGUUUUUGAGUGGUUAACAUAUAAAGCUCCCUGUUCUUGGUUGAUUUAUUCUGUGAUUAAUAGUUUUAUUGUUACUUUUCCCACCGGAAACUCCUUAUCUGAC
Molecule: long non-coding RNA, 406 nt
Filed under: Daucus carota (carrot)
Lineage: Eukaryota; Viridiplantae; Streptophyta; Magnoliopsida; Apiales; Apiaceae
Description: long non-coding RNA (DCAR_LNC003438)
Source: RNAcentral